GAAGCCCAACCUGCUGAGCGAGGGAACAAAGAAAGACUCCAUUUGCCUGUGGGAGUGGAGUGAGUGAGGGAAGGAGCUGCCUCCUCCACUCAAAGAAGCCUCUUUUAAAAGUUCCUCGCCAGCGUUUCCGAGGUUGGCCCUUAUCACCACGCUCGUGAAAGCAUUUUUUCUGCCAGCCCCUGAGGGUGCUAGUGGUCUGUGGACCGCACACCAUAGACUCACUUCCACGGUGUAGCCCUUUGGAGCCCCAGCCCAGGACCUGGGGGAGGAGGUCAGCACUGCCAACCUGGUAGGUACUAGACUUUGAUUUUUUUUUUUUAAAGAUUUUAUUUAUUUAUUCGACAGAGAGAGAGACAGCCAGUGAGAGAGGGAACACAAGCAGGGGGAGUGGGAG
RNAcentral lists this long non-coding RNA (394 nucleotides) under Ursus thibetanus thibetanus. Its description in RNAcentral is "lncRNA (ENSUTTG00000000536.1)". Lineage: Eukaryota; Metazoa; Chordata; Mammalia; Carnivora; Ursidae. The record is from RNAcentral.